Molecule: ribosomal RNA, 314 nt
Filed under: Ectocarpus fasciculatus
Lineage: Eukaryota; Phaeophyceae; Ectocarpales; Ectocarpaceae
Description: SSU rRNA
Rfam family: Eukaryotic small subunit ribosomal RNA
Source: RNAcentral
CCCUUACUACAUGGAUAACCGUAGUAAUUCUAGAGCUAAUACAUGCACAAAAGCCCAACUGCCUCGGCGGACGGGUUGCAUUGAUUAGACCGAAACCAAUGCGUCUUCGGACGGUUUUGUGGUGAAUCAUAAUCACUUGCGGAUCGCACGCUUCGGCGGCGACGUUUCAUUCAAGUUUCUGCCCUAUCAGCUUUGGAUGGUAGGGUAUUGGCCUACCAUGGCUUUAACGGGUAACGGGGAAUUGGGGUUCGAUUCCGGAGAGGGAGCCUGAGAAACGGCUACCACAUCCAAGGAAGGCAGCAGGCGCGUAAAUU